This is a long non-coding RNA of Oncorhynchus kisutch (coho salmon), 2790 nucleotides long. The record is from Ensembl. Lineage: Eukaryota; Metazoa; Chordata; Actinopteri; Salmoniformes; Salmonidae.
UGAGUUUAUUCUGUCAGUCAGAGCAGAAGAAUAGAGGGAGAGGAAGAGAUAGGGAGGUAAAGAAUGAGGGAAGGUUUACAGAGGACAGAUUAGAACUGUCAUAGACUUAUAUUGACAUUUUACAUGUACAUUUUAGUCAUUUAGCAGACGCUCUUAUCCAGAUUUAUACAUCCACAACAUAUCAGGUUCAGCCAUGGAGCACAUGUGGCUGAACUCGGUGAGUCAGUGUGUGGUAUCUGUGUCGGUGAUCGUGGUGAGUGUGAGGAUGUCUAUGGGUGGUGGUGGGAUGGAGGAGGAUGGAGGAGGCCAGGGUGGAGGUGGUCAUACCCGGAGCGGGAGUGUUUCUGCCUGCCUGAAGUUGUGUCUGGGCUGUGUGGGGGCAGUGGGGGGUGCGGUGGGGGUUCCUGUCUCUGUGCUGCUGAACCUGAGGAGUCCCCAGUGCCUGUACACCUGCAUCACCCUGGUGUGCUGUCCUCUGCUGGUCAGGCAAUUCACUGUCUGCCUGCUGCUGCUCAUGACCCUCAACUCCCACCUGAAGCACCGCAUGGGGAGCAGGUACAGUUUGCUGGUGACACGUCGGCGGGCCCUGUGUAUGGUCCUGCUGUGCUGGGUGGCCUCUGUCCUCUCCUCCUUUGCCCAGUUCAUCGGCUGGAACGUCCUGGACACCUGGGGAGGGGACGAGGGAUGGCUGGAUGGGCUGGGGCUGGACGGCAUCCCCCCAGGCAACUGGACCUCCCCUCCUCCCCGUCCGAUGCCUCCCAAGUACAACCAGGACCGCUCUGUGAUUGGGAAGUACCUCCCUUACGGCGGCUUCCUGUCCAAGUUCUACGUGGAGGAUCUCCAUAACUUCACCUAUGCAGAGAUCCAUGGGAGCCACUGGGGGGUGUGUGCCCCCGACACUGUCCUCAGCCCCCAGUUCCUGGUCUAUGUCUAUGGGGUGACCGUCUUCCUGCUCCCCCUAAUGUGCCUGCUGGCCAUUUACCUAGAUCUGGUCUGUGUGAUGCCCAGACAGGACCCUGAUGGUCCGGGCUCUGGCCCCCCAAAACGCCGCUCUCCCCGUGCCCGCUCCCUAGGCUUCUCCCUCUGCCUUCUUGUCCUCCUGUGUCUGCCCCUUCACAUCACCCACUCCCUCCUGCUUUUCUCCCCAGGCACACUGCCCCCGACCUGGGCUUUCCCGCUGGUCUCGCUCCUGUCGCAGCUCUAUGGUCUGGUGCCCCCUCUCCUCUUCACCAUUCCCACACAACGGGUGGGGGCCGAACAGGUACCCCUACCUCUGCCCCACCUGGCCCCCACAGGGGGUAAGACGGUGGGCGGAGCCCUGUGUUCAGCUGUGCAGGCAGCAUCCUGUUCACUCAAAGGGAGGCUGUGCCCAGAUGUGUGUGUGUAACAUGGAACGGGAUAACAGGGAAGGUGUGUGUGUUAACACGUUGUUACAACACCAGCAUUCCCAUCUCAUAUGUUCUAAUUCAAUCUCUUAGGCUCUGUUUACACACAUGUCUAAUAUGGUAAUACAUCGAAAUUGCUGAACAUCCAAUUUCCCUGGAGGUUUGCCCACAAACACAAGUUCCAAUCAUUGUGUGUAAACAGCGCCAUGUAUCAUUGUGUGAUUCACAAGGAGCUUCUUUGUGUAUGUUUCCCCAUAUAUAUUCAUCAACCUGUCAGUAGCACAUACUAGACGUUAAUUAGUUUUUCACACACUGUGCUGUUUAAUUAUUGAGUCCCAUAUCAAAUAAGGUCUUACAUCCAACCUUUUUAUGCUGUGUAAAGUACAUUUCGGAUAAAAAAGGUCAAGACAGGCCUGAUGGAAACAUCUAAUUUGUCAGUAGACGUUCCAAAUGUCAGCCAAACAAAAUACGCUAGACAAGCUGGGAUCUUUUUGUGUCGGUAAAAUUCAUAAUGUGAGAAAUAGCGAGGAAACGCCUUUACGCGCAAAUAUGCAUAUAAUAACUAUCAUACCGAAGUAAAAUUGGAGUCACACGAUGACAUGGUGUGUGGUCCUUACACUACGACUCGGGAAACCAUGUAGUUUAUUAGGCUACAGAUUUAGUAAAUGAUGAUCAACUUUACAGGGUGGUGAAAAUGCAAGUGAUGAACCUCAUGCUCCUUUACAAUAAAUAUCGAGGGUCUCCCUCUGCCAUUUAACAAAUUAAAAUGAUCUUGCUCUUUUAUCCAGAAUAUCAACCACACUGUAUCUGUCAGCUGUUGUCUUGAGCGCAAGUGCCAAACCAGAGUGGGCAUAUUUGCUAUAUAACGCAAACAUUUUUUGUGAGUAAACCAUCAGUAGAGUUGACAAUUAUAUUCUAUUUUUUAUUCAGUACAUGGGAUAUUAACUGCAAACGUUAUUUUUAUGUGUAUUACAUCAUCUUGCACAGUUUUUUUCAUCAGCAACGAGAACAUUUGUUGGAAACACUUCUCUGGUGGUAAAAUGCGCAUAUUGUUUUAAUGGGGACUUUCACACGAAAAUCUGUCGCCAAUUGGAUGGAAACCUAGUUACUGAGAGAGUAAAUAUCACGCAGCUGACUUCUAAUCUCACACUGAUCCAGAACUAAGCCUGGGACUAGAUCAGGAUAUGCCUGCAUUGUAACAUGCCUUCUGCUGCUGCUGCUGCUGGGUAUGCUGGGGAUGCUAUAGAUCUGGCUUUGAUCAUGUUUAAUUAAACACACAGUAAUAACAGCAUGGUUGGUCUGGCGACACCCUCAUAAUUAUAGCAGAGAAACGUUUUUCAUGGCUGUUUUGAUUAACUGUGUAAAUCUAACACUCUCCUUAAAUAAAAGGCCUUGCUCUAACUAA